UUUUGUUGUUUGUUGUGAUUUACAUUUCCAAUAAAGCUAAACCCCAGCAGGAUUUUGGCCUGUGUGUGGUGUUUGCAAGCUGGUGAAAGCAGAAUGGGGACUUGCUCCACUAAGCAGAUCUUAAACUCACCGAAAUAUAUCCUUGUGGAAUGGAAAGCUGAGAGCUGUGCAUUGGAUUUGCCAUGCAGAGUAACCAGUGAGCACCUCUUCCCCUGCCCUGGUGUGCUGCCCAAGGGAUGGUCUCGCUCUGCUGAGGACUCCCCUGAGACCUGUUUUUGGCAAAACGCUUUUUUUUGGAUUCCUGAUUUUGGCAAAACGCUUCUUCCCACGAAAACCGACGUCGGGAUGAACUUCAG
This is a long non-coding RNA of Corvus hawaiiensis (hawaiian crow), 356 nucleotides long. RefSeq lists it as uncharacterized. NCBI's taxonomy places the organism in Eukaryota, Metazoa, Chordata, Aves, Passeriformes, Corvidae. The transcript is spliced from 3 exons. The record is from RefSeq and is a predicted model, not a curated record.